AAUAUUACAAAUCAUUUUUUUCUUGCUUGUAAAUAGUGUAUUCUACAGUAUAUAUUGUUAUUCUGCACAGAACUUGACUUACAUGUAUUUUUGGUAUUUAUUUUCACAUGCUCUGCAC
Long non-coding RNA from Thalassophryne amazonica, 118 nucleotides. RefSeq lists it as uncharacterized. The record is from RefSeq and is a predicted model, not a curated record. The transcript is spliced from 3 exons. Lineage: Eukaryota; Metazoa; Chordata; Actinopteri; Batrachoidiformes; Batrachoididae.